This 253-nucleotide ribosomal RNA is filed under the name uncultured bacterium. Its description in RNAcentral is "partial 16S ribosomal RNA". It matches the Rfam family "Bacterial small subunit ribosomal RNA", at positions 524 to 776 of the family's 1533-position model. The record is from RNAcentral.
UACAGAGGGGGCAAGCGUUAUUCGGAAUUAUUGGGCGUAAAGGGCGCGUAGGCGGCUUGGCAAGUGGAAGGUGAAAUCCCUCGGCUUAACCGAGGAACUGCCCUCCAAACUGCUUUGCUUGAGGCCGGGAGAGGUGAGUGGAAUUCCCAGUGUAGCGGUGAAAUGCGUAGAUAUUGGGAGGAACACCAGUGGCGAAGGCGGCUCACUGGACCGGUUCUGACGCUGAGGCGCGAGAGCGUGGGGAGCGAACAGG